Molecule: non-coding RNA, 90 nt
Organism: Ceratotherium simum simum (southern white rhinoceros)
Lineage: Eukaryota; Metazoa; Chordata; Mammalia; Perissodactyla; Rhinocerotidae
Source: RefSeq, a predicted model, not a curated record
AGAAAAAUUUCAACACAUGAAACUGACAAGGAUUAGUAUCCAGAGUAUACAAACAAUUCUUACAAAUCAAUAAGAAAAAAGACACCCCAA